ACAGAUGUGGCGGAACUGGCAGACGCACAGGACUUAAAAUCCUGCGGUUGAAUAAACCGUGCCGGUUCGAUUCCGGCCAUCUGCACCA
This 88-nucleotide transfer RNA is filed under the name Clostridium sp. 26_21. RNAcentral describes it as "tRNA-Leu". It matches the Rfam family "tRNA". Rfam says of the family: Transfer RNA (tRNA) molecules are approximately 80 nucleotides in length. Their secondary structure includes four short double-helical elements and three loops (D, anti-codon, and T loops). Lineage: Bacteria; Bacillati; Bacillota; Clostridia; Eubacteriales; Clostridiaceae. The record is from RNAcentral.